GUGUCAUGUUGUCCUUGGGUCUCUUGUGCCAGUUUUACAGAAUUAGCUCAGGAGUAAGACAUGUCUUCGGAUGGUUUUACGGCGUAUUAAUUAUUGUCCUUAGUGGGUUUCAAAAAGUGGUAUUAAGUUUGGACAUCUUUUAAAGUUGGUCACAAAGCAAUGACUACACAAUAUUUUUUUUAUAUAAAUUACAAUUAUUUUUAUAAGACUACAAACAAAAUUUGCGAUCAUAUUGUGGUAUCAUGUUGUCGUUGUCGUCCGCGUCAUCUGAAGACAGUUGGUUUCCCGACAAAUACAGUGCACUUUAGUACAAGAAAAUAGAAAUCUAUGAAAUUUAAACACAAGGUUUAUAACCUUGAAAGGAAAGUUUAGAUUGUUUUUGGGGGUUAUGGUCCCAACAGUUUUGGAAUUAAGGGCCAAAAAAAGGGACCUAAGUAAGCAUUUUAGUAGUUUCCAGACAAGGACUUGUGUUAAGUGUAUGAAUCUCUCUGUAAUUAUAACACAAGCUUCCAUACCACAAAGGAAUGGUUAGGAUUGACUGUGGGGGUUAUAGCUCCAACCAUUUAGGAAUCAGGGGCAAAAAAUGGGGAAAACAAGGGUUUCCUGGUUAAUGAACUAAAACAAAGUAAAUAAAUCGUGCACUAAUCCACUGGAAAGUUGUUGCCUCAAAAUGAACCAAAAAUGUUUUUCUUAUAUUUACUUCAAAUUC
Molecule: long non-coding RNA, 709 nt
Filed under: Mytilus galloprovincialis (Mediterranean mussel)
Lineage: Eukaryota; Metazoa; Mollusca; Bivalvia; Mytilida; Mytilidae
Source: RNAcentral